This 544-nucleotide long non-coding RNA is filed under the name Citrus maxima (pomelo). Its description in RNAcentral is "long non-coding RNA (CMAX_LNC003341)". The record is from RNAcentral. Lineage: Eukaryota; Viridiplantae; Streptophyta; Magnoliopsida; Sapindales; Rutaceae.
CCACACACGCGACAUCCAAAUGAAAUCAAUCCAAAAUCAAAUUCAAAAGAAACCAUCAUGACUUCAUCUCUCUAGUCUGCUCUCAACCCAAAUACCCACAUUGUGAAGCUACCUGCUACCGGCUGCCACCACGCUGCUCCACGUCGGCAAGAUAGCACAGUCGCUCCACGACCGACAGCCUUGACCCAUGUCAGCCUUAUCUUUCCGCUCUCGAAACAACAUCACGUCAGUUGCACCACAACCACACCAUGACAGAUAGAGGAAAUUGGAGAUCCAUCGAAGCCACAAUAUGAAGCUGCAGCGCAUAAUCGCUCUGGAUAAGAAAGACACGAGCUCGCUUGGCCAUCACCAUUUCGCUUUCUCUCUCUCUCACUUCGGCUUCUCGGAUCAAAUUGAGGAUUUUGUUUUGAUGCUUAUAAUUUCCACCACAAGAACCAUCACACAAACAAUCAAUGACCUACAACUAAUUAUCUUCAAAUCGGUUAGCAAUCUUUAUUAAUAUUGAAGCCAUCAUUAAACCCAUCACAGAGAGAAAGUGAGAGAG